Molecule: long non-coding RNA, 458 nt
Filed under: Apteryx rowi (Okarito brown kiwi)
Lineage: Eukaryota; Metazoa; Chordata; Aves; Apterygiformes; Apterygidae
Description: lncRNA (ENSARWG00000002007.1)
Source: RNAcentral
GUGGAUUAUCACUUCAACCCGUGACUGCAGCUGCUGGCCUGAGGAAGAGGAUGGGAUCAUGCACAAGAAGCAGGGGUAAGGACCGAACCACCUCAUCUAGCAGUAGCGUACAGGCGGAGAAGCUUAAAGCAGUCAUAAGGCAACAGCCUGAAAACGCACAGAUAACAUCUGCAAGAAGAUAAAUGUGCCACUGAGAAAUGAUUCAAAGGCAGAAGGGGAAGCUGGUGAAGGGAUCUACAGUGCAGCUGGUGAAGAUCGCAGAGCAGAAGCUGGUCGACAUGGCUGUAUAGCAAGCACGUGACCUAGAAGUGCCACAGCAGGGGAAGAUGAAGAGGGAACCAGAUGAGUAAGACUCACAUGCAGCGCACGGGAUUUGGCAGGACUUAGAUCAGUGAUCCACUAUUAGUGUUUUUCCUGCUUGUUAAAUAAAGUAGAAACACUUCUUUACCUUGAGAAUU